AACGAACGCUGGCGGCAUGCCUAACACAUGCAAGUCGAACGAGACCUUCGGGUCUGGUGGCGCACGGGUGCGUAACGCGUGGGAACCUGCCCUUAGGUUCGGAAUAACUCUCCGAAAGGGGUGCUAAUUCCGGAUAAUGUCUUCGGACCAAAGAUUGAUCGCCUUUGGAUGGGCCCGCGUUGGAUUAGCUAGUUGGUAGGGUAAAAGCCUACCAAGGCGACGAUCCAUAGCUGGUCUGAGAGGAUGAUCAGCCACACUGGGACUGAGACACGGCCCAGACUCCUACGGGAGGCAGCAGUGGGGAAUAUUGGACAAUGGGCGAAAGCCUGAUCCAGCAAUGCCGCGUGAGUGAUGAAGGCCUUAGGGUUGUAAAGCUCUUUUACCCGGGAUGAUAAUGACAGUACCGGGAGAAUAAGCUCCGGCUAACUCCGUG
RNAcentral lists this ribosomal RNA (433 nucleotides) under uncultured bacterium. RNAcentral's name for it is "partial 16S ribosomal RNA". It matches the Rfam family "Bacterial small subunit ribosomal RNA", at positions 29 to 507 of the family's 1533-position model. The record is from RNAcentral.